This 1997-nucleotide long non-coding RNA is filed under the name Gossypium barbadense (sea-island cotton). Its description in RNAcentral is "long non-coding RNA (GBAR_LNC016427)". The record is from RNAcentral. Lineage: Eukaryota; Viridiplantae; Streptophyta; Magnoliopsida; Malvales; Malvaceae.
UUGUUCCUUUACCACUAUGAAUUAGUUGCUGCACAGGCAAGCCUUCUUUUUGUUCAUUUUGCACUUGAGAAGAUGUUUACAUCUUUCUUUGCAUGCACUUUAGCUUUGUCCAAAUGAUGACAAGACCAUGGUUCUCAUGCAUACAUCAGUUUUGCAUAUGGAACUUCAUGUUUGCUUCAUAUUUGGCCCUUCUGAAAUCAGUCAGCUCAGCCAUUCUGACCCAUCCACUUGUGUUUCUGUCUGGAGGAUAUGUCCUGAGAAUCAAGCAAAGAUGGAUGGAUUAGGGUGGCUCCUACAUUUAAAUCUUACUCGCAUCGAAUAAUGCCUAUGAAAUUUGUCGAAAUCUGAUUUCUUCUACCCUAAGACUUGACAUAGGUUGAGUUUGUGCCCAUGUUUUCUCUGCUACUGAAACCUUGUUCUCUUAACAGGCAACAGUGAGGCAGCCUGCAGUGAAGAACACGCUGAAAGCUUUGUACUUUCAGUUCACCAUCGGAGUUGUACCGAUGUUUGCCAUUACCUUUAUCGGCUACUGGGCUUACGGAGCUUCAACAUCCACAUACUUGCUUAAUAGCGUAAGCGGUCCACUUUGGGUGAAGGCGGCUGCUAACAUUUCUGCCUUCCUGCAAUCGAUCAUUUGUUUGCACGUGAGUAAACACACGCUUGUUUGUAUCAUUAACCAUUUUUAGCAAUGCUUCACAAACCUGAAAACUUCCUCCGCUGGCUGCUGCAGAUAUUUGCGAGUCCAACUUAUGAGUAUUUGGACACCAAGUUCGGCAUUAGAGGAAGCGCCUUGCAGCUUAACAACUUGUCCUUCAGAAUUGCAGCAAGAGGCGGGUACCUCGUUAUCAGUACACUGGUGUCUGCUCUUCUACCGUUCCUCGGAGAUUUCGAAAGCCUUACAGGGGCAUUGAGCACGUUUCCACUAACAUUUAUCCUAGCAAACCACAUGUACAUUGUGGCAAAGAAGGAUAAACUGAGUACCUUGCAAAAGUUCUGGCAUUGGCUCAAUGUCAUUAUCUUCGCUCUCAUGUCCAUUGCAGCAACGAUUGCAUCUUUGAGGCUCAUAGCUGUUGAUUCCAAAGAAUACCAUGUGUUUGCUGAUGUGUGAUAUCUACAAGGGCUGAGAAAAAUGCCUAAAAUUAGCAGAAAUCCGAUUCGAAUUUAGCCUUCGCUUCGGUUUUGAUUAGACUAAUAAUAUCAAUGUAAUGUAUUCAUUCGGUUCUCGGUUCAUAACUUCUAAAAAAAACCACAAAUAUUAUUAAAACAGAACAGAAAAGAACCGAACCGAAUUGAACCGAAUUUUAUUUUAAUUUAAUUUUAGCUAGUGUUUAAUUUCUGAUGGUAUAAAAAUAAAUAAAUAUAUUUUAUUUCUAAGUCUACCCUUAAAAUUCAAAUUGGUUAUUUAUGGUGUUUAAUUACACACACAGUUAGAUAGUAGACAUCAGAAUGAUAGAAAUGGUGGAUGGUGGAGCCUUCCACCAUUUCUGAGUUAGACACAAACCUAAAAUUCGAUUCUAAAAGUGGGGGGGGGGGGGGGGGAUACAACCUGACUUUACAAAAAGGAGAUGUAGGAGCUACUUUCUCAACUUGAUGCUUGUUUCUUUCUCGAAAAGUCGUGUUUCCUUGGUUCAACAGAUGAUGAUGGAUCACAUCAAAUAAGGGUGGGAUCAGAUGUAUGGCCUCUUAAGAUAGUUGACAAAGCAAUCAGUUUCGUGAUGAAUACCCACGAUUCCAACUUACGUCUAAUUGUAUAACCCCCACAUGUCCCUGCAACUGGAUGCAGAAUCCGGUAAAUAAGCCUCCAAUGCGGAUAUCUUCGAUUUUCUUUCAUGUAUUUGCUUAGUAGCAGAUAUAAACAUCUUACCUGGAAACCAACUUUACAAGAAUGCAGAUUACACUGAGUAGUAGGAGAGGAACUCUCUCGUAUAUUGCGUGGCGUAAAUGGGUCUGCCAUUCUGAGUUGGGAGCAACAAAACCAGCCUCCUUUAAUAUUUGCC